This 108-nucleotide transfer RNA is filed under the name Pseudomonadales bacterium. RNAcentral's name for it is "tRNA-Gly". Lineage: Bacteria; Pseudomonadati; Pseudomonadota; Gammaproteobacteria; Pseudomonadales. The record is from RNAcentral.
GCGUGGAAUGUGUCGUAAGUGAUUGAUAAACAUAACAUUGAUGGAAAAAUAAUGACAAGUACCUUGCCAAGGUACAGGUCGCCAGUUCGAACCUGGUUUCCCGCUCCA